UACACACUUCUUUACAUUCCAUA
RNAcentral lists this microRNA (23 nucleotides) under Rattus norvegicus (Norway rat). Its description in RNAcentral is "rno-miR-3571". The record is from miRBase by way of RNAcentral. Lineage: Eukaryota; Metazoa; Chordata; Mammalia; Rodentia; Muridae.